UACAGGGGGGGCAAGCGUUGUUCGGAAUUACUGGGCGUAAAGGGUCUGUAGGUGGCUUGCUAAGUCAGACGUGAAAUCCCUCAGCUUAACUGGGGAACUGCGUCUGAUACUGGCGAGCUUGAGUGCAGGAGAGGAACGCGGAAUUCCAGGUGUAGCGGUGGAAUGCGCAGAUAUCAGGAGGAACACCAAUGGCGAAGGCAGCUCGCUGGGACGGUACUGACGCUGAGGCGCGAAAGCGUGGGGAGCAAACAGG
This 253-nucleotide ribosomal RNA is filed under the name uncultured bacterium. RNAcentral's name for it is "partial 16S ribosomal RNA". It matches the Rfam family "Bacterial small subunit ribosomal RNA", at positions 524 to 776 of the family's 1533-position model. The record is from RNAcentral.